UGAAGUCGGUCGCCUAAUCGUCACUAAGUCAUUUAUAUAGCUUUUGUAUAUUAAAACUAAUGGGAGGAGGAAAAAAAAGAAGAGGAGAAAGGAAAAGAAAAGAAGAGGAAAGAAAAGGAGAGGCUACUGUCUGAUUUAGUUUGGCAAAGAAAAGAGCGUAUAGUGUGAGGUGAAAUCGAAAGCUCAGAGUAAGAUAUCAGUAACGUUUUGGUUGACGUGGGUCAUAGGAACUCCACGUGUUUUUAGGUUCUAUUGCUGACGCGUUUUAGCAAGCUUCUCCUCCUCAUCAUUUUUGCAUGUAGAUAAAUGUAUAGUAUAUAGAGUGGUGAGAGGGUCCCACUACUGUUCAGAAUGUUUUGAAGUAUGUACCUGAUAAAUGUUGGUUUUUGAUAUUAUAUGUAAUAUGCGUGGUUUAUGUACUUGACGUGUGGGUUAUGAAUUUUGAUUUUUGAA
This is a non-coding RNA of Salvia hispanica, 453 nucleotides long. The record is from RefSeq and is a predicted model, not a curated record. Lineage: Eukaryota; Viridiplantae; Streptophyta; Magnoliopsida; Lamiales; Lamiaceae.